AGUGAACGCUGGCGGUAGGCCUAACACAUGCAAGUCGAACGGCAGCACAGUAAGAGCUUGCUCUUACGGGUGGCGAGUGGCGGACGGGUGAGGAAUACAUCGGAAUCUACUUUUUCGUGGGGGAUAACGUAGGGAAACUUACGCUAAUACCGCAUACGACCUACGGGUGAAAGCAGGGGAUCUUCGGACCUUGCGCGAUUGAAUGAGCCGAUGUCGGAUUAGCUAGUUGGCGGGGUAAAGGCCCACCAAGGCGACGAUCCGUAGCUGGUCUGAGAGGAUGAUCAGCCACACUGGAACUGAGACACGGUCCAGACUCCUACGGGAGGCAGCAGUGGGGAAUAUUGGACAAUGGGCGCAAGCCUGAUCCAGCCAUACCGCGUGGGUGAAGAAGGCCUUCGGGUUGUAAAGCCCUUUUGUUGGGAAAGAAAAGCAGCAGGUUAAUACCCCACCGUUCUGACGGUACCCAAAGAAUAAGCACCGGCUAACUUCGUG
This 492-nucleotide ribosomal RNA is filed under the name uncultured bacterium. RNAcentral's name for it is "partial 16S ribosomal RNA". It matches the Rfam family "Bacterial small subunit ribosomal RNA", at positions 29 to 507 of the family's 1533-position model. The record is from RNAcentral.